RNAcentral lists this ribosomal RNA (460 nucleotides) under uncultured bacterium. Its description in RNAcentral is "partial 16S ribosomal RNA". It matches the Rfam family "Bacterial small subunit ribosomal RNA", at positions 338 to 795 of the family's 1533-position model. The record is from RNAcentral.
CCUACGGGAGGCAGCAGUGAGGAAUAUUGGUCAAUGGACGAGAGUCUGAACCAGCCAAGUAGCGUGAAGGAUGACUGCCCUAUGGGUUGUAAACUUCUUUUAUAAAGGAAUAAAACGAGGCACGUGUGCCUUUUUGCAUGUACUUUAUGAAUAAGGAUCGGCUAACUCCGUGCCAGCAGCCGCGGUAAUACGGAGGAUCCGAGCGUUAUCCGGAUUUAUUGGGUUGAAAGGGAGCGUAGAUGGGUUGUUAAGUCAGUUGUGAAAGUUUGCGGCUCAACCGUAAAAUUGCAAUUGAUACUGGCAGUCGUGAGUACAGUUGAGGUAAGCGGAAUUCGUGGUGUAGCGGUGAAAUGCUUAGAUAUCACGAAGAACCCCGAUUGCGAAGGCAGCUUACUAAACUGUGACUGACAUUGAUGCUCGAAAGUGUGGGUAUCAAACAGGAUUAGAUACCCUAGUAGUC